Molecule: long non-coding RNA, 171 nt
Organism: Dermochelys coriacea (leatherback sea turtle)
Lineage: Eukaryota; Metazoa; Chordata; Testudines; Dermochelyidae
Exons: 3
Source: RefSeq, a predicted model, not a curated record
GUCAGGCUGGAAGGGUAUAUUGAGUGGGAUCCCAUAAGGAUCAGUUCUGGGUCUAGUUCUGGUCAAUAACUUCAUCAAUGAUUAGAUAAUGGCAUAGAGAGUCAACUUAUAAAGUUUGUGGAUAAUACCAAGCUGAGAGAGGUUGCAAUCUGCUUUGGGGCAGGGCUUCUC